AUGUCUGCUAUCCAGAACCUCCACUCUUUUGACCCCUUUGCUGAUGCAAGUAGGGAUGAUAACCUGCUUCCUGCUGGCACUGAGGAUUAUAUCCUUAUGAGAAUUCAACAGUGAAAAUGGCAGGAAGACCCUUACUACCAUCCAAGGGAUCACUGAUGAUUACGAUAAAAAGAAACUAGUGAAGGCAUUUAAGAAGAAAUUUGCCUGCAAUGGUACUGUAAUUGAGCAUCCAGAAUAUGGAGAAGCAAUUCAGCUACAGGGUGACCAGCGCAAGAACACAUGCCAGUUCCUCAUAGAGAUCGGACUGGCUAAGGACAAUCAGUUGAAGGUUCAUGGGUUUUAAGUGCUUUUGUGGCUCAUUGAACCUUAAGUAAGGAUAUCCUUGCAAUGAGUAGAAUUUCCCUUCUGUCCCUUGUCACAAAUUUUAAAACCUCACAGCUUGUAUAAUGUAACCAUUUGGGGUCUGCUUUUAACCUGGACUAGUGUAACUCCUUCAGGCAAUAAGCUGAAAAGAGCCAUGCUGUCUAGUCUGGAAGUCCCUCAUUUAAACAGAGGUCAAGCAGGAGGUGCCUGGCAGGGUCAAGCUUGAAACAAAGCAAUAACGUGAUAUUUCAACCAAGCCCAGAGCCCUAGGAUCACAGACAACUAUGUCUGGCCAGAAGUUCCUCAGUUUUCUCUCUGGAGAGUUCCCUGGCCUGAAAGAUUGUCACCACCAGAAUGAGCCUCGGUGAACCCGAGAGGAGAGGAUGAC
This is an RNA transcript of Carlito syrichta (Philippine tarsier), 751 nucleotides long. It is a transcript of the gene named eukaryotic translation initiation factor 1 pseudogene, with no coding region annotated. The record is from RefSeq and is a predicted model, not a curated record. NCBI's taxonomy places the organism in Eukaryota, Metazoa, Chordata, Mammalia, Primates, Tarsiidae. The transcript has a single exon.